This 443-nucleotide ribosomal RNA is filed under the name uncultured bacterium. RNAcentral describes it as "partial 16S ribosomal RNA". It matches the Rfam family "Bacterial small subunit ribosomal RNA", at positions 338 to 795 of the family's 1533-position model. The record is from RNAcentral.
CCUACGGGUGGCAGCAGUGGGGAAUAUUGGGCAAUGGGCGCAAGCCUGACCCAGCAACGCCGCGUGAAGGAAGAAGGCCCUCGGGUUGUAAACUUCUUUUAUCAGGGACGAAACAAAUGACGGUACCUGACGAAUAAGCCACGGCUAACUACGUGCGAGCAGCCGGGGUAAUACGUAGGUGGCAAGCGUUAUCCGGAUUUACUGGGUGUAAAGGGCGUGUAGGCGGGUCUGCAAGUCAGAUGUGAAAGCUCAUGGCUUAACCAUGGAACUGCAUUUGAAAAUGUAGAUCUUGAGUGAUGGAGAGGCAGGCGGAAUUCCGUGUGUAGCGGUGAAAUGCGUAGAUAUACGGAGGAACACCAGUGGCGAAGGCGGCCUGCUGGAAAUUAACUGACGCUGAGGCGCGAAAGUGUGGGUAUCAAACAGGAUUAGAUACCCCAGUAGUC